UACAGAGGGUGCAAGCGUUAAUCGGAAUUACUGGGCGUAAAGCGCACGUAGGUGGGUAUCUAAGUCGAAUGUGAAAUCCCCGGGCUCAACCUGGGCAUUGCAUCCGAUACUGGAUACCUUGAGUAUGGUAGAGGAGAGUAGAAUUCCCGGUGUAGCGGUGAAAUGCGUAGAUAUCGGGAGGAAUACCAGUGGCGAAAGCGGCUCUCUGGACCAAUACUGACACUCAGGUGCGAAAGCGUGGGGAGCAAACAGG
Molecule: ribosomal RNA, 253 nt
Filed under: uncultured bacterium
Lineage: Bacteria
Description: partial 16S ribosomal RNA
Rfam family: Bacterial small subunit ribosomal RNA
Source: RNAcentral